RNAcentral lists this transfer RNA (62 nucleotides) under Libnetis granicollis. RNAcentral describes it as "tRNA-Pro". The record is from RNAcentral. Lineage: Eukaryota; Metazoa; Arthropoda; Insecta; Coleoptera; Lycidae.
CAGAGAAUAGUUUAUUAAAAUAUUAAUUUUGGAGAUUAAAGAUAGGGAUUUCUUUUCUCUGA